UUUAAGGUUUUUCUAGAAACCACCGAUAAAUUUAGUGAGAUCCUGG
Non-coding RNA from Myotis lucifugus (little brown bat), 46 nucleotides. The record is from Rfam. NCBI's taxonomy places the organism in Eukaryota, Metazoa, Chordata, Mammalia, Chiroptera, Vespertilionidae.